GACUUCUGGUUUAAUGCACCUGGCCCGCGGCCCACAAGGCCUGUGAGUGCCGGCGCGCGUUUACCAUCCUUCCAGCAACGGCUACCCUUAACUGGGCGGCUGGAACUGGAUCUUUUACUUUGAAAAAAUUAGAGUGUUUAAAGCAAUAAUAAUCUAGGACUUCGGUUCUAUUUUGUUGGUUUCUAUAACUGAAGUAAUGAUUGAUAGGGAUAGUUGGGGGUGCUAGUAUUGGCCGGUCAGAGGUGAAAUUCUUGGAUUCGGUCAAGACUAACUUAUGCGAAAGCAUU
This 287-nucleotide ribosomal RNA is filed under the name uncultured Rhogostoma. RNAcentral describes it as "partial 18S ribosomal RNA". The stretch from base 97 to 287 matches the Rfam family "Eukaryotic small subunit ribosomal RNA", at positions 734 to 955 of the family's 1831-position model. The record is from RNAcentral. Lineage: Eukaryota; Cercozoa; Thecofilosea; Cryomonadida.